RNAcentral lists this transfer RNA (76 nucleotides) under Pseudomonas aeruginosa. RNAcentral describes it as "partial Ala tRNA". It matches the Rfam family "tRNA". From Rfam's summary of the family: Transfer RNA (tRNA) molecules are approximately 80 nucleotides in length. Their secondary structure includes four short double-helical elements and three loops (D, anti-codon, and T loops). The record is from RNAcentral. Lineage: Bacteria; Pseudomonadati; Pseudomonadota; Gammaproteobacteria; Pseudomonadales; Pseudomonadaceae. RNAcentral also lists the same sequence under 2 other names.
GGGCUAUAGCUCAGCUGGGAGAGCGCUUGCAUGGCAUGCAAGAGGUCGACGGUUCGAUCCCGUCUAGCUCCACCAA